This 250-nucleotide ribosomal RNA is filed under the name uncultured bacterium. RNAcentral's name for it is "partial 16S ribosomal RNA". It matches the Rfam family "Bacterial small subunit ribosomal RNA", at positions 57 to 305 of the family's 1533-position model. The record is from RNAcentral.
GCAAGUCGAGCGGAAACGAUGGGAGCUUGCUCCCAGGCGUCGAGCGGCGGACGGGUGAGUAACGCGUAGGAAUCUACCCAGUAGAGGGGGAUAGCCCGAGGAAACUCGGAUUAAUACCGCAUACGCCUCAAGGGGGAAAGGCCGGGAUCUUCGGACCGGUCACUAUUGGAUGAGCCUGCGUGAGAUUAGCUUGUUGGUGGGGUAAUGGCCUACCAAGCCUACGAUCUAUAGCUGGUUUGAGAGGAUGAUC